UAGCCGGCCUGAGAGGGUGACCGGCCACACUGGGACUGAGACACGGCCCAGACUCCUACGGGAGGCAGCAGUGGGGAAUAUUGCACAAUGGGCGAAAGCCUGAUGCAGCGACGCCGCGUGAGGGAUGACGGCCUUCGGGUUGUAAACCUCUUUCAGUAGGGAAGAAGCGAAAGUGACGGUACCUGCAGAAGAAGCACCGGCUAACUACGUGCCAGCAGCCGCGGUAAUACGUAGGGUGCGAGCGUUAUCCGGAAUUAUUGGGCGUAAAGAGCUCGUAGGCGGUUUGUCGCGUCUGUCGUGAAAGUCCGGGGCUUAACCCCGGAUCUGCGGUGGGUACGGGCAGACUAGAGUGCAGUAGGGGAGACUGGAAUUCCUGGUGUAGCGGUGGAAUGCGCAGAUAUCAGGAGGAACACCGAUGGCGAAGGCAGGUCUCUGGGCUGUAACUGACGCUGAGGAGCGAAAGCAUGGGGAGCGAACAGGAUUAGAUACCCUGGUAGUCCAUGCCGUAAACGUUGGGCACUAGGUGUGGGGACCAUUCCACGGUUUCCGCGCCGCAGCUAACGCAUUAAGUGCCCCGCCUGGGGGAA
This 587-nucleotide ribosomal RNA is filed under the name Micrococcus sp. RNAcentral's name for it is "bacterial SSU rRNA". It matches the Rfam family "Bacterial small subunit ribosomal RNA", at positions 284 to 881 of the family's 1533-position model. Lineage: Bacteria; Bacillati; Actinomycetota; Actinomycetes; Micrococcales; Micrococcaceae. The record is from RNAcentral.